This 253-nucleotide ribosomal RNA is filed under the name uncultured bacterium. RNAcentral's name for it is "partial 16S ribosomal RNA". It matches the Rfam family "Bacterial small subunit ribosomal RNA", at positions 524 to 776 of the family's 1533-position model. The record is from RNAcentral.
UACGUAGGGGGCUAGCGUUGUCCGGAAUCAUUGGGCGUAAAGCGCGUGUAGGCGGUCCGGUAAGUCCGCUGUGAAAGUCGGGGGCUCAACCCUCGGAUGCCGGUGGAUACUGUCGGGCUUGAGUACGGAAGAGGCGAGUGGAAUUCCUGGUGUAGCGGUGAAAUGCGUAGAUAUCUGGAGGAACACCGGUGGCGAAGGCGGCAUCCUGGAUCGGCAUUGACGCUGAGGCGCGAAAGCCAGGGGAGCAAACGGG